RNAcentral lists this ribosomal RNA (253 nucleotides) under uncultured bacterium. RNAcentral describes it as "partial 16S ribosomal RNA". It matches the Rfam family "Bacterial small subunit ribosomal RNA", at positions 524 to 776 of the family's 1533-position model. The record is from RNAcentral.
UACAGAGGUCCCAAGCGUUGUUCGGAUUCACUGGGCGUAAAGGGUGCGUAGGUGGUGGGGUAAGUCGGAUGUGAAAGCUCGGAGCUCAACUCCGAAAUGGCAUUGGAAACUACCCUGCUAGAGGAUUGGAGGGGGGACUGGAAUACUUGGCGUAGCAGUGAAAUGCGUAGAUAUCAAGUGGAACACCAGUGGCGAAGGCGAGUCCCUGGACAAUACCUGACACUGAGGCACGAAAGCUAGGGGAGCAAACAGG